Molecule: long non-coding RNA, 1143 nt
Filed under: Oryctolagus cuniculus (rabbit)
Lineage: Eukaryota; Metazoa; Chordata; Mammalia; Lagomorpha; Leporidae
Description: lncRNA (ENSOCUG00000033432.1)
Source: RNAcentral
GAUUGGGGAGGGGCAGGAGAGGAGGGAUGUAAACAAAGGCAAACUCCCUUAGUUUCCAUUCCAUUGCUCCCAAACUCCUUCAAACCCUUAGGGAGCACCGGCCAGCUCGCUAGGCUUGUGCUGGGUCUGGACUCCAUUUCCCAGAGUUCCUCGGCGCCUAGUGCGUGGGUGCACGUCGGAGCGCGCCUGCGCGCUGGUGGCUCCGCGUCCCGGGGCAGCGGAAGUUCGCGCAGUGUUCAGAGCCGGGGCUAUUGCUCCACACGUGCUUGCGGCGGUCUUUUGCUGUACACCUUCCAUUCCAGGCAGUUUGCGAGCGCAACACCCGGCCGGCCCCGCUGCUUCUCCUUCCGCUGCUGUCGCUGGGUCCGAGGCCACCCCCACGCGCCGGGGACUUUGCCUGCCCCUCACGCUCCGCCUUGCUGCACCUGCGUGUCCUGGAGCGCGCCGCCGGGCUCCCCGCCAAUUCCCCCGGCAAGUGCGGAGACCAGGGAGGGGCGUGGACGCGGGUGCGAGGGCGGCUGGCGGCUCGGGGACCCGGCUCUGGGUGCGCUGCCCAGCGAGCCGGCGCCCCGAUCCGGGCUGUGGCGGCUCCGACCGCAGCCUUCCAGCCUCCCGGCGCCCCGCGGGCCCCGUGCGCUGCUUCCCUCCAACUUUCCGUCAUGCAUUUUGUUCUGGGGGAGCCUGGCAGGCGAGAGGACGGCGGAGGAAGGCAGCGGGACUCCCCUCGUCCAUAUUUUCAUCGAGCCCCGGUCCCACUUUGGCUUCGUGGAGAGAAUGCCCUCUGGCCGGGCUUCCUGGUCAACCCUGCGGCGGUUCCCGCGGCAGAGCGGGGCUGGUGGCCCCCAGCAAGGAGCCCGGGGCGGCGGGCAGAUGGCUCAGCCUCGCUGCCCCCACUCCGCACGCGCACAGCCCGCAAGCCCCCGCAGUGCCACUCCCCGCUGGUUGUCCUACAGCCCCUGCAGCUGGAAUGUGUUUCCCACGGCAGUGCUCGUGUCCUGCUACUGUGUGAAGAGCUGCCUAGAGACAGCCGUCGGCCCACCUGCUGAAGAAGCGUAUUGCAUGGAUGUUCAUCUGACUGGGAGACGGCCGAGAAUAGGAUGUGUCAACUUGGCAGGUCAUUCCCUGUGCUCCUGGACUUGCUAG